AGCGAACGCUGGCGGCAGGCCUAACACAUGCAAGUCGAACGAACCUUUCGGGGUUAGUGGCGGACGGGUGAGUAACACGUGGGAACGUGCCUUUAGGUUCGGAAUAACUCAGGGAAACUUGUGCUAAUACCGAAUGUGCCCUUCGGGGGAAAGAUUAAUCGCCUUUAGAGCGGCCCGCGUCUGAUUAGCUAGUUGGUUGAGGUAAUGGCUCACCAAGGCGACGAUCAGUAGCUGGUCUGAGAGGAUGAUCAGCCACAUUGGGACUGAGACACGGCCCAAACCCCUACGGGAGGAAGCAGGGGGGAAUCUUGCGAAAGGGGGGAAAGCCUGACGCAGCCGUGCCGGGUGAAUGAGGAAGUUCUUAGAAUUGAAAAUUUCUUCCACCGGGGAGGAAAAGGACGGUACCGGGAAAAGAAGCCCCGGCUAACUUCGUG
This 434-nucleotide ribosomal RNA is filed under the name uncultured bacterium. RNAcentral's name for it is "partial 16S ribosomal RNA". It matches the Rfam family "Bacterial small subunit ribosomal RNA", at positions 29 to 507 of the family's 1533-position model. The record is from RNAcentral.